CUACUAAUGUAUUAAAUGAUCCUCUCUACUUUCCUUUUCCAGGGCCUCCUGCCUCUGAUAAAACCAAGAAUCCCAGGGGUAUAUGUGAAAUCCAGUCUAUGGGUUGAUCCUGGUACUGUUGCCUCAAGGGAGGAGGACAGCCCGCGGGCCUGCCAAGGUGUCCUGUGAUCUUCAACUGAACAUCUGUGCCUUGCAGUGCUGUGGGUGCUUUGGCAGAGUCUCAUCAGCAGCACUGAUGCUGCCAAGCAUUUUGUCCAGGUUCCCUGGGCAGCUCUUCUGGGCCAGAGCCUGUGCUGGGAGCUGAGGACAGACAGAUCAGACCUGCUCCUCAUUCUUGAGAAGACAGCCAACAGAGAAAUGAGAAUGCUGAGGCUGACCGUGAGCAAAAUGAAUUCAGAGUAUGAGUCCAUCAUACGAACCAGAAACCCUCAUGUCCAGCUUUGUCACUUCCUAAUCCAAAGCGUCCCAGGAUCUAGAGAUCCUGACCACUCCAACUGGGCAAGAGCACUCGUGGUGACCCCCACAGGAAGUGCUAACGGGGGAUUCCAGGCACCGGGGAGUCCCCAUGAUCUGUGCAUCCCACAAGGGCCAUGGCCGCCUGGAUCCUAUCAUAGGCCAAGGCCCAGAGUGGAUCCCUGCACUCCCUCUGAGGUUAGAUGGGAAACUGGAGAGGACCCGGAAGACCUUUCUGUGCUGUAA
Molecule: long non-coding RNA, 699 nt
Filed under: Sus scrofa (pig)
Lineage: Eukaryota; Metazoa; Chordata; Mammalia; Artiodactyla; Suidae
Description: lncRNA (ENSSSCG00070009947.1)
Source: RNAcentral